UAGGGAAUAUUAGUAAUGGGCGAAAGCCUGAACUAGCAACACCGCGUGUGCGAAGCAGGCCUUCGGGUUGUAAAGCACUUUUUGAGAGGAUGAGGAAGGACGGUACUCUCAGAAUAAGUCUCGGCUAACUACGUGCCAGCAGCCGCAGUAACACGUAGGAGGCAAACGUUAUCCGGAUUUACUGGCCGUAAAGCGCGUGUAGGUGGUUUGGUAAGUAGAGCGUGAAAGCUCCUGACUCAACUGGGAGAGGUCGUUCUAAACUGCCGGACUGGAGGAUGGUAGAGGGAGGUGGAAUUCCGGGUGUAGCGGUGGAAUGCGCAGAUAUCCGGAGGAACACCAGUGGCGAAAGCGGCCGCCUGGACCACUCCUGACACUCAGACGCGAAAGCUAGGGUAGCAAACG
RNAcentral lists this ribosomal RNA (402 nucleotides) under uncultured prokaryote. Its description in RNAcentral is "bacterial SSU rRNA". It matches the Rfam family "Bacterial small subunit ribosomal RNA", at positions 355 to 774 of the family's 1533-position model. The record is from RNAcentral.